RNAcentral lists this ribosomal RNA (1370 nucleotides) under uncultured bacterium. RNAcentral describes it as "16S ribosomal RNA". It matches the Rfam family "Bacterial small subunit ribosomal RNA". The record is from RNAcentral.
AGAGUUUGAUCCUGGCUCAGGACGAACGCUGGCGGCGCGCCUAACACAUGCAAGUCGAACGAGCGAGAGAGAGCUUGCUUUCUCGAGCGAGUGGCGAACGGGUGAGUAACGCGUGAGGAACCUGCCUCAAAGAGGGGGACAACAGUUGGAAACGACUGCUAAUACCGCAUAAGCCCACGGGUCGGCAUCGACCAGAGGGAAAAGGAGCAAUCCGCUUUGAGAUGGCCUCGCGUCCGAUUAGCUGGUUGGUGAGGUAAUGGCCCACCAAGGCAACGAUCGGUAGCCGGACUGAGAGGUUGAACGGCCACAUUGGGACUGAGACACGGCCCAGACUCCUACGGGAGGCAGCAGUGGGGAAUAUUGCACAAUGGGGGAAACCCUGAUGCAGCGACGCCGCGUGGAGGAAGAAGGUCUUCGGAUUGUAAACUCCUGUUGUUGAGGAAGAUAAUGACGGUACUCAACAAGGAAGUGACGGCUAACUACGUGCCAGCAGCCGCGGUAAAACGUAGGUCACAAGCGUUGUCCGGAAUUACUGGGUGUAAAGGGAGCGCAGGCGGGAAGACAAGUUGGAAGUGAAAUCCAUGGGCUCAACCCAUGAACUGCUUUCAAAACUGUUUUUCUUGAGUAGUGCAGAGGUAGGCGGAAUUCCCGGUGUAGCGGUGGGAUGCGUAGAUAUCGGGAGGAACACCAGUGGCGAAGGCGGCCUACUGGGCACCAACUGACGCUGAGGCUCGAAAGUGUGGGUAGCAAACAGGAUUAGAUACCCUGGUAGUCCACACCGUAAACGAUGAUUACUAGGUGUUGGAGGAUUGACCCCUUCAGUGCCGCAGUUAACACAAUAAGUAAUCCACCUGGGGAGUACGACCGCAAGGUUGAAACUCAAAGGAAUUGACGGGGGCCCGCACAAGCAGUGGAGUAUGUGGUUUAAUUCGACGCAACGCGAAGAACCUUACCAAGUCUUGACAUCCUGUGACAGACGUAGAAAUACGUUCUUCCUUCGGGACACAGAGACAGGUGGUGCAUGGUUGUCGUCAGCUCGUGUCGUGAGAUGUUGGGUUAAGUCCCGCAACGAGCGCAACCCUUAUGGUCAGUUACUACGCAAGAGGACUCUGGCCAGACUGCCGUUGACAAAACGGAGGAAGGUGGGGAUGACGUCAAAUCAUCAUGCCCUUUAUGACUUGGGCUACACACGUACUACAAUGGCGUUAAACAAAGAGAAGCAAGACCGCGAGGUGGAGCAAAACUCAGAAAUAACGUCCCAGUUCGGACUGCAGGCUGCAACUCGCCUGCACGAAGUCGGAAUUGCUAGUAAUCGUGGAUCAGCAUGCCACGGUGAAUACGUUCCCGGGCCUUGCACUCACCGCCCGUCA